GAACCCUAUGGCACAAGCCUCAAACCCACACGCACAAGUAGAUAUGGAAUCCAAAGAUUUGAUAAACCCACCUCCUAUGGCACCCCACACUUAGAGAAGCUGAAACACCAAUGAUCGAAGGAUUUAGAUGAGAAUCUGACAAACGCCACAAUGAAUAGUUGAUAAGUAAGCCAAGAUUCCUGGUGCAAUUGAUGAAAGCAAAUCCUCACUCUCACUCAAAGCAAUACACGCCAAAGGUAUGAGAAGAAUUCUGAAAUUUUGAUUAAAAGCUGCCUCUUACAAUUGUUUCUUAUCCUUAUAUAGUAAGGAGAAAAACAAAUAAAACCCUAAGACACUCUUCUUGGACCUGACUUAAACACAUAAGGCCUAAGCCCAAUCACACACUAAAAUAACACAAAAGUAUUAAAACAUAAGCCCAAAACAUGACCCAACACUCUAAAACUUAAAAGAUAAAGUAUGGCCAGAAUACAAGGCCAAACAAAGCUAAAAUAAAACAAGUGUUAAAUAAUAAAAAUAUAGCAAGCCCAUCAUAACAAAGAUGAAUUUUCACAAAAGCCUUACUUAAUCUUUACUUUAGGCUUCCCUUUGUGUAGUUUUAGCCCAUAGGUUUGAUUAGGCUCCCUAAGUCUAUGAUUGCAAGUGUUGCACCAAAUCUGUCCCAUAUGAGUUGAAGCAUGCCCCAAAUAUAUAUGGAUCAUAUGAAUAUGAUUUUGAACUCCUUUUAGAUCCAUUUGAAUGACAUAAGUUUGCUCCACACCAUUGUUAGAAAUUUGCCCUAUUGGAUCCAUAUCAUACUCUCCUUCUUUAGAAAAGAUUCGUCCUCGAAUCUUGCUGAUAUUUAUGUCAAAAAAGGAAGCUUUAGAAACCCAUGUAUCUUCAAAGACCUCCUUUUGAAUAGGUGGAAAUAGGACAAAACUUUUGUCAUGAAUGUUUUCAUCAACAACCUGCACAUCAAGAACAAAUAAACUAGGCAUAAAAAUAUUAGUCAUAGAAAGGUCCUGUGGAUGUGACCCAUUCUCUUCUACAACUUCCAAAACAGUCUCAUUCGCCUCCUCUACCUCAUCAAUCACGUGCUCCCCAUGUCCCUCAUCAUUCACAACCUCUUCUAUAAGUUCAUUGAUGGAAUUCUCAACAACAACUACAUUAGAUUCAUGCAUUACAACUUCCUCUUCAAUUUCAAUCUCUAUGGAAGUUGAGAUUGGAACUUUAGCCUCUUCUUUCUCCUUUUCUUUCUCCACCUUCCCUCCUUGAACUAGUCUUGAUUCUUUCCUAGCCUCUUUACCCUCAAACUCACUCUUUUCUCUCAUCUUUUCCGCAGAAUUCAAGCUCUCACUCCCCUUUGUGGCCAAGGCCGAAGCCUCCCUCUCUCUCUCCAGCAUCUUUAUUUGAUCAACAUAUACCUCUUGAGGUGAUAAAGGAGCGAGUAUAACCUUCUGUCCUUCAUGAGUGAAGGAGUACUUGUUAUUGAACCCAUCAUGUUGCACCUUUCUAUUAUGUUGCCACGGUCUAUCCAACAACAUAUGGCUUGCCUGCAUAGGUACCACAUCACAUAAGAUCUCAUUCUUGUACCUACCAAUAGAAAAUGGUAUAAUCACCUGGCGUGUAACCCUAACCUCUCCACAAUCAUUCAACCAUUGCAAUCUAUAUGGCUUAGGGUGUUUAAUAGAAGCCAAGCCUAAUUUUUCCACCAUAUACACACUAGCCACAUUUGUGCAACUACCUCCAUCAAUAAUGAGAGUACACACUUUUCCAUUAACUAAACACCUAGUGUGAAAUAUAUUUUCCCUUUGUUCUAGGCUUUCUUCCUUAACCUGCAUAUUCAGAGCAUGCCUAGCAACAAGCAUCUCACAAUGUGCAGCAAGCAACACAUUAUUAACGAACACAUCCGAAUCAUCACAGUCAUUAUUGCAAUUAGGAGUUUUUUGAGGUAUUCUUGUAGAAGUGGAAGCUUGUGAGACAUUCAAACUCUCCAUAGUUUCAGUCAACCUCUCAACGAGCUUAUAAUCGUUACCCAUAUUCGAUUCACUUCCAUCAGUACGAUCUACCACAUUCUUGUCUUUACUCAUCCUACUUUAAAUCAACAAAGAACAAAAAGAACUAGCAAAUAUUGUGUUAAAAAAAAGUACUUAAGUGUUUGUACUCUUACCAUUCUUUUGCUGAUUCUUCAAUUGCACUUCAGAAACUAAGGUCAACCAACCAACCACAAGGUGCGUUUAAUGAAAUAAAGAAGAAAACCUAAAGAAAGAAGGAAGCGCGCAAAAAACUAGAAAGAAGACACUGACAAUUUGGAAAGUAAGACACGAACUAGGUUUUGUGCUACUUGAAAAAUAUCACCUAGAGUAUAGACCCAAGCAAACAAUACUCUAGCAAUGUGAAGGAAGCAAAAGCAAGCUUAAACCAAAAAAGAAACUUAGAAUUCAAAUAAAAAAACGAACCUGAAUAAAAGUUUGAAUUUAAUUCACUUCAAAGCAAAUUAAAUAUGGAUCUAUAUAAAUCUACCCAAAAAGGAAAGUAUCAAAACCCCAUAAAUAGAAUCAGAAAGAAAAAUAUAAAUUUCACUCAGAUCAGAAAUAUGGACGAAAAUUCUGGUUUUAAAAGGAGGAUUUGACAUCAAAUCGAUUUAGAUGCAGUUGCCUUAAAUGUGCACCUUAAGGAAUAGGCAGAUUUUUUUUGUUUCCUAAUCUGGAUUCAACCCAAUUCAAAAUUCAAAAUUGAUUCCCAUAAACUACAGCAAUCAAUUGAGAUAGGUAAGAAAAUAUAGAUGAAAAAGGAAGCAUAUCACAAUUUCGGCCAGAUCAAGAUAAAUAUAGCAAAUGUGAUUUUUUUUUUUUUUUGAUUUCAAAUUUUUUCUUCCAAAAAGAGAUUAUGUGAUAAUUUAUCAAGAAGGUGCAGCCAUGAAUAUGCAAGCUUUCACUGAAGUCAACAAGGAAGAAAAAGAAAACUAAAAAAAAAAACUCUAGAUCCUGAGAUAAAUCAGAACUUACCUCACUUUGGCUCUGAUACCAACUGAUGCGGAACCCUAUGGCACAAGCCUCAAACCCACACGCACAAGUAGAUAUGGAAUCUAAAGAUUUGAUAAAACCACCUUCUAUGGCACCCCACACUUAGAGAAGCUGAAACACGAAUGAUCGAAGGAUUUAGAUGAGAAUCUGACAAACGCCACAAUGAAUAGUUGAUAAGUAAGCCAAGAUUCCUGGUGCAAUUAAUGAAAGCAAAUCCUCACUCUCACUCAAAGCAAUACACGCCAAAGGCAUGAGAAGAAUUCUGAAAUUUUGAUUAAAAGCUGCCUCUUAUAAUUGUUUCUUAUCCUUAUAUAGUAAGGAGAAAAACAAAUAAAACCCUAAGACACUUUUCUUGGACCUGACUUAAACACAUAAGGCCCAAGCCCAAUCACACACUAAAAUAACACAAAAGUAUUAAAACAUAAGCUCAAAACAUGGCCCAACACUCUAAAACUUAAAAGAUAA
This 3467-nucleotide long non-coding RNA is filed under the name Manihot esculenta (cassava). RNAcentral's name for it is "long non-coding RNA (MESC_LNC001697)". The record is from RNAcentral. Lineage: Eukaryota; Viridiplantae; Streptophyta; Magnoliopsida; Malpighiales; Euphorbiaceae.